UUAAUGUAAACAAAGGAUACUCCUUUGAAUUGAUAGGAAUAGAUUAUAGACAUCAUGAUGAAUAGUGUUGUGUACAUAUUUGUAGCAUCAAUGUCAUAGUUUGGGUAAGGUUAACCUUUAGUAGGAGCAAACUCUAGUGUUAAAGAGAAAGUGGUGACUAGGUAGUGAGUAGAUAGCAUUAGCUCUGUUACCUGCUGUCAAACAUAAUAAAUGUUUAAACCCUAAAGCAGAAAGUUUUCCUGUUUUAAUUUCCUCUGUUUGUCUCUGAAAAAAAAAAAAAAUCUGUGGCCAAGAAGAUUCAGUAGUGCACCUGUAAUAGCAGUGCACAUGUAAUCAGGUUCUCUGUUGGAAUUUAAAAGCCUAGAAAAUUAGUCUCUAUUUUAACCAUCAGUCAUGUUACCUUUUUAGAUAACAGAGCUCUGCAUGUGACAUCUCCUAUCAUGCAGGACCUUUGAUGCACAGGAAACUAUAACUAGAGGAGAGAAAGGAAUUCCCACCUCCAUCUCAAACAAAGCCCCACCUCUCAAUGAAAAAUAAAGUCCUAGGAGCAGGAGCAGGACCAGGACCAGGUUACAUUUCUGUGUAGUAAUAUCACCAGGCUUAUGCUGACCACAAAUGCUACUUUUCAAUAAGAAGCUU
RNAcentral lists this long non-coding RNA (639 nucleotides) under Felis catus (domestic cat). RNAcentral describes it as "lncRNA (ENSFCAG00000045867.2)". The record is from RNAcentral. Lineage: Eukaryota; Metazoa; Chordata; Mammalia; Carnivora; Felidae.